RNAcentral lists this ribosomal RNA (253 nucleotides) under uncultured bacterium. Its description in RNAcentral is "partial 16S ribosomal RNA". It matches the Rfam family "Bacterial small subunit ribosomal RNA", at positions 524 to 776 of the family's 1533-position model. The record is from RNAcentral.
UACGUAGGGUGCAAGCGUUAAUCGGAAUUACUGGGCGUAAAGCGUGCGCAGGCGGUUGUGUAAGACCGAUGUGAAAUCCCCCGGCUUAACCUGGGAACUGCGUCUGAUACUGGGAGGCUUGAGUAUGGGAGAGGGAUGUAGAAUUCCAGGUGUAGCGGUGAAAUGCGUAGAUAUCUGGAGGAAUACCGGUGGCGAAGGCGGCAUCCUGGACCAUUACUGACGCUGAGGCGCGAAAGCUAGGGGAGCAAACGGG